Molecule: unclassified non-coding RNA, 479 nt
Filed under: Hevea brasiliensis (rubber tree)
Lineage: Eukaryota; Viridiplantae; Streptophyta; Magnoliopsida; Malpighiales; Euphorbiaceae
Source: RNAcentral
AAGCCCGUACCAGCCACAAAGAAGACCAUAGAUAUUGCAACCCAGAAGUGAGGUAAUGUCUCCCAUAUCGAUUCAUCAUUCAUGCUUUCUUCUUCUCCAGGCAUUAGAGCCCUACACAUUCUGAAAUUGUCUAUUAGAAUAAUUAUUUCAAAUGCCAACAAAGGAAUGAAGACAAUCUUCAAGUUUACAGCUGCACCACCAUGAACAUAAGGACUCUCAAGAUAAAUACAAAGAAGCAGUUCAAAUGCAAUGAGCAAUGGUGUUGCUACGACUGUGUGGCAUGGUGCCCAAUGACGAUUAUGUGGAACUGAUGGAGCAGGUAAUGAAAAUCUUCCUCGAGCAAUAACUCCAUGGAACAACCAGAGAGGAAAGAAAAUCAACCACCAAGAGUAGGAGACGACGUGGUCAAGCUUGAAUACGAGCAAAAGGGUGAAAAAGAAGAGAAGACUAUGAGCAGCCAGGGCCUGCACGGACUUCAA